RNAcentral lists this ribosomal RNA (2905 nucleotides) under Serratia nevei. Its description in RNAcentral is "23S ribosomal RNA". It matches the Rfam family "Bacterial large subunit ribosomal RNA". Lineage: Bacteria; Pseudomonadati; Pseudomonadota; Gammaproteobacteria; Enterobacterales; Yersiniaceae. The record is from RNAcentral.
GGUUAAGUGACUAAGCGUACACGGUGGAUGCCUAGGCAGUCAGAGGCGAUGAAGGGCGUGCUAAUCUGCGAAAAGCGUCGGUAAGGUGAUAUGAACCGUUACAACCGGCGAUACCCGAAUGGGGAAACCCAGUGUGUUUCGACACACUAUCAUGUCAUGAAUACAUAGUGGCAUGAGGCGAACCGGGGAACUGAAACAUCUAAGUACCCCGAGGAAAAGAAAUCAACCGAGAUUCCCCCAGUAGCGGCGAGCGAACGGGGAGGAGCCCAGAACCUGAAUCGGCUUGUGUGUUAGUGGAAGCGUCUGGAAAGUCGCGCAGCAAAGGGUGAUAGCCCCGUACACUAAAAUGCACAGGUCGUGAGUUCGAUGAGUAGGGCGGGACACGUGACAUCCUGUCUGAAUAUGGGGGGACCAUCCUCCAAGGCUAAAUACUCCUGACUGACCGAUAGUGAACCAGUACCGUGAGGGAAAGGCGAAAAGAACCCCGGCGAGGGGAGUGAAAUAGAACCUGAAACCGUGUACGUACAAGCAGUGGGAGCACCUUCGUGGUGUGACUGCGUACCUUUUGUAUAAUGGGUCAGCGACUUAUAUUUUGUAGCAAGGUUAACCGUAUAGGGGAGCCGUAGGGAAACCGAGUCUUAACUGGGCGAAUAGUUGCAAGGUAUAGACCCGAAACCCGGUGAUCUAGCCAUGGGCAGGUUGAAGGUUGGGUAACACUAACUGGAGGACCGAACCGACUAAUGUUGAAAAAUUAGCGGAUGACUUGUGGCUGGGGGUGAAAGGCCAAUCAAACCGGGAGAUAGCUGGUUCUCCCCGAAAGCUAUUUAGGUAGCGCCUCGUGAACUCAUCUUCGGGGGUAGAGCACUGUUUCGGCUAGGGGGCCAUCCCGGCUUACCAAACCGAUGCAAACUCCGAAUACCGAAGAAUGUUAUCACGGGAGACACACGGCGGGUGCUAACGUCCGUCGUGAAGAGGGAAACAACCCAGACCGCCAGCUAAGGUCCCAAAGUCAUGGUUAAGUGGGAAACGAUGUGGGAAGGCAUAGACAGCCAGGAUGUUGGCUUAGAAGCAGCCAUCAUUUAAAGAAAGCGUAAUAGCUCACUGGUCGAGUCGGCCUGCGCGGAAGAUGUAACGGGGCUAAACCAUGCACCGAAGCUGCGGCAGCGACGUUUAGGCGUUGUUGGGUAGGGGAGCGUUCUGUAAGCCGUUGAAGGUGGCCUGUGAGGGUUGCUGGAGGUAUCAGAAGUGCGAAUGCUGACAUAAGUAACGAUAAAGCGGGUGAAAAGCCCGCUCGCCGGAAGACCAAGGGUUCCUGUCCAACGUUAAUCGGGGCAGGGUGAGUCGACCCCUAAGGCGAGGCUGAAAAGCGUAGUCGAUGGGAAACAGGUUAAUAUUCCUGUACUUGGUGUUACUGCGAAGGGGGACGGAGAAGGCUAGGCUAGCCGGGCGACGGUUGUCCCGGUUUAAGCGUGUAGGGGGUGUGACCUGGUAAAUCCGGUUGCAUAUCAACCCUGAGGCGUGAUGACGAUGCACUACGGUGCAGAAGUAGUUGAUGCCCUGCUUCAGGAAAAGCCUCUAAGCUCUAGGUAACAUUAAAUCGUACCCCAAACCGACACAGGUGGUCAGGUAGAGAAUACCAAGGCGCUUGAGAGAACUCGGGUGAAGGAACUAGGCAAAAUGGUGCCGUAACUUCGGGAGAAGGCACGCUGGCAUGUAGGUGAAGUCCUUCGCGGAUGGAGCUGAAGCCAGUCGAAGAUACCAGCUGGCUGCAACUGUUUAAUAAAAACACAGCACUGUGCAAACACGAAAGUGGACGUAUACGGUGUGACGCCUGCCCGGUGCUGGAAGGUUAAUUGAUGGGGUCAGCCGCAAGGCGAAGCUCUUGAUCGAAGCCCCAGUAAACGGCGGCCGUAACUAUAACGGUCCUAAGGUAGCGAAAUUCCUUGUCGGGUAAGUUCCGACCUGCACGAAUGGCGUAAUGAUGGCCAGGCUGUCUCCACCCGAGACUCAGUGAAAUUGAACUCGCUGUGAAGAUGCAGUGUACCCGCGGCAAGACGGAAAGACCCCGUGAACCUUUACUAUAGCUUGACACUGAACAUUGAGCCUUGAUGUGUAGGAUAGGUGGGAGGCUUUGAAGCGUGGACGCCAGUCUGCGUGGAGCCAUCCUUGAAAUACCACCCUUUAAUGUUUGAUGUUCUAACUCGGCCCCAUAAUCUGGGGUGAGGACAGUGUCUGGUGGGUAGUUUGACUGGGGCGGUCUCCUCCCAAAGAGUAACGGAGGAGCACGAAGGUUAGCUAAUCACGGUCGGACAUCGUGAGGUUAGUGCAAAGGCAUAAGCUAGCUUGACUGCGAGAGUGACGGCUCGAGCAGGUACGAAAGUAGGUCUUAGUGAUCCGGUGGUUCUGAAUGGAAGGGCCAUCGCUCAACGGAUAAAAGGUACUCCGGGGAUAACAGGCUGAUACCGCCCAAGAGUUCAUAUCGACGGCGGUGUUUGGCACCUCGAUGUCGGCUCAUCACAUCCUGGGGCUGAAGUAGGUCCCAAGGGUAUGGCUGUUCGCCAUUUAAAGUGGUACGCGAGCUGGGUUUAGAACGUCGUGAGACAGUUCGGUCCCUAUCUGCCGUGGGCGUUGGAAGAUUGAGAGGGGUUGCUCCUAGUACGAGAGGACCGGAGUGAACGCACCACUGGUGUUCGGGUUGUCAUGCCAAUGGCAUUGCCCGGUAGCUAAGUGCGGAAAAGAUAAGCGCUGAAAGCAUCUAAGCGCGAAACUUGCCUCAAGAUGAGUCUUCCCUGGGCCUUUAAGGCCCCUGAAGGAACGUUUAAGACUAAGACGUUGAUAGGCUGGGUGUGUAAGUGCAGCGAUGCAUUGAGCUAACCAGUACUAAUGAUCCGUGAGGCUUAACCUU